This 80-nucleotide small RNA is filed under the name Flavobacterium resistens. RNAcentral's name for it is "Flavo-1 RNA". It matches the Rfam family "Flavo-1 RNA". Lineage: Bacteria; Pseudomonadati; Bacteroidota; Flavobacteriia; Flavobacteriales; Flavobacteriaceae. The record is from RNAcentral.
UUUUAGCCCUGAUAGAAGUGGAAAUCCUUUUAUUUUUUUCUUUAAAAAAUAAAAGAUUGAAACAGAUAGCAGGAUUAGCU